This 235-nucleotide ribosomal RNA is filed under the name uncultured Staphylococcus sp. RNAcentral's name for it is "partial 16S ribosomal RNA". It matches the Rfam family "Bacterial small subunit ribosomal RNA", at positions 105 to 334 of the family's 1533-position model. The record is from RNAcentral. Lineage: Bacteria; Bacillati; Bacillota; Bacilli; Caryophanales; Staphylococcaceae.
GGUGAGUAACACGUGGAUAACCUACCUGUAAGACUGGGAUAACUUCGGGAAACCGGAGCUAAUACCGGAUAAUAUUUUGAACCGCAUGGUUCAAAAGUGAAAGACGGUCUUGCUGUCACUUAUAGAUGGAUUCGCGCUGCAUUAGCUAGUUGGUAAGGUAACGGCUUACCAAGGCAACGAUGCAUAGCCGACCUGAGAGGGUGAUCGGCCACACUGGAACUGAGACACGGUCCAG